AAAGCUGCAAUAGUGGCGACCUCUUUAGCGGCGACUUCCAAAAAGUCGUCGCUAAAGGUCCUAUCCGUGUCCCCUGGUUUUAAUCAAUUCUUAGCCGUUCGAUCAUAAGCAAUCUAAGGGUUGGUGUUUUAUUAAAGCAUGUCGCUUGCUAAAAGGUUAUCAAAACCUUUGGGCGGGCAACAGAUUCACCAAUUCCCUCCCAAAUCACACCCAUAUUGUUCCCCGAACCCUCGAUUGACGCCGCGCCACCUCGCCGGACCACUCCUCUAGCGCCGCCGCCCCAUCAUCUCAACACUAUUGGACCACCAGAUAAUCUUGCAGGAAGAUUUCUUAUGCUUGGCUGGCAAAACAAUGGUCUGGAUUCACAAAGUACAACCGACACAUCAGCCGAGCCUCCAAUUGGUGUUUUCUUUGCAUAUGUUGCUCCUCGCUUACAACCAGAUACUACUCUAUUUCUUCCUUCCAAAAGAGUCAUGCUACUUGUGCAGUAGUUUAUGAGAAAACAUCAACAUGCCGUGUCCACAAAGGAGUAUGUUCGACCUGGAAGAAGCUUAGUUACAGGUAGUAGUAGAGGCUGUAGAAAGGUUGAAGCCGAGACCACAUGGGAAGCAAAUAGAAAAGAGACCUUCAGAGAAGCAGUUUGCGAGGCAUUAUUGAAGUUAUUCUAAGGCUAUGAAAGCAGUUUGCGACGCACUUUCGGCAUAUUUUAUAUUGGUUGAGGGACGGCGUGGCUUGUGGAAAGGAUAAAUGAAGAUGAAAAAAUGGAUACUGACUUAACACGCACUAAGGAUUAUUUUGACGAUUCGUUUGAAGACCCGAGAUUCAUGGAACGACUCUACCAAGGUGUGGAUAAGAAGAAGGGAUAAAGAAGCAACGAAAAUGACACGGACUAGGUAGAUUAGUGAUGUAUUUGCUUAGAAUUUAAGGGUUUCAAAACUUUAACUUAACCAAACAAAAUACUUUUGUUAUAGUUUUAUGUUUAAAAUUUGGUGUCUUAUGUUUACAA
RNA transcript from Helianthus annuus (common sunflower), 1006 nucleotides. RefSeq lists it as uncharacterized. The record is from RefSeq and is a predicted model, not a curated record. Lineage: Eukaryota; Viridiplantae; Streptophyta; Magnoliopsida; Asterales; Asteraceae. The transcript has 6 exons.